RNAcentral lists this long non-coding RNA (1000 nucleotides) under Mus caroli (Ryukyu mouse). RNAcentral describes it as "predicted gene, 37933 (MGP_CAROLIEiJ_G0005667.1)". Lineage: Eukaryota; Metazoa; Chordata; Mammalia; Rodentia; Muridae. The record is from RNAcentral.
GCAGCGGGCCGCGGGCUGGCUAGGUUGUGCACUGUCGGGAACCUGCAGAUUGUCAGAGAUGCUCAACCCACUUCAGGUUUCAUGUGGUUUCCGUUGCCCCGAGGGUGGGAACUCUCUCAGAUUCUAAUUUUGAGAGUACGUUUCUUCCCUAGACCAUGGGCUUUGAAUCAGAGAUAGCAAAUCCAUGUUCAAGUGGUGAUUCGAACAGCACUUAGCCUUCUGACCUCUUUAGCCAUCAGUUCCCUCGGGUGUAAAAUGGGAAUAUUCAUGUGAUCUGUUUCAAAACAUUAGUAUAAUUCAAUAAGCAUGACUUCGGGCACGCUGUUCACGUGCUGACUACACUUGGCCAUGGCUGUGUUGUGAACUUUCAUGAAAAAAGAGGCUUAGCCGUGUGUGCUAACACAUGCCUGCAAUCCCAGAGCUCUGGAGGCAGGAGGACAGCAAGUUGGAGGAGAGCCUGGAGUAUAUGGUGCUUUUCUCUGCAGCUCAUCCACCCUGUCCUACAAAUGGAUCUCUCACACCAUUCCUGCUCCUCCAUCGAGUCACCCCACUGAAGGGUACCAAACUUCGUAAUGGGUCCCAUUUAACUUCUCAGAAGACAUUGUCAGAAUUCGAUGGAACCCGAAGCCUCACUAAUCAUAGCCUCAGUCAAGAUGCUCAUCAGCUGGACUUUUCCUCCUGCAAGGAAGCGUAUGAUGAAACUUUUCUCUGUUACUGAAGCCAUCUUUGUUCCAAUUGGUCAUGUUAAAAGCACUUGAACUCCCCAGUCUGUGACUAGUCAAGCCUGGCAUACACCUUGGAUGCUGGGCCCUCAGGGCUUUUCUUUGCCCUCAGGCUCUUCUUGGUAGUCAUUAAGUCCCACCAAACCCUCACAGCUUCAGCAGAGCUUCCAUUCGCCAACCCUUUAACCCUUAAAAUCCCUCCUAGUCCUCCUACCCCUGCCCUCUGAGCUGAUCUCCCUGACCCUUUAGUCCCAUCCAAAAGUCUUCAGUAACUCCAC